GGGCAGUCUGACCGAUACUGGCACUCCAUUGCUUCCAGGAUUGAUUGGCUAACAUGCCUGGCUAGGUGAAUGACCCUUACUGUCCCGUGUGCGUUCCUCUGAAAGUGUGUGCUCAGUUGACAAAGAUGACUUUUGCAGUAGACUUUUCCAUCUUUGGUGGAGGGUCUCUGAGUAGCUGUGUUUUCUUGCUUGAUCCUUCAAACCAGCUUUGAGGGAUCAGAAGCCUCAGGUUUUAGGUGUGGUUGGUCUCAGCUCUAUUCCUAAGAGGAGGCAAUCAGUGCCUCUGAG
RNAcentral lists this small nuclear RNA (288 nucleotides) under Rattus norvegicus (Norway rat). RNAcentral's name for it is "7SK RNA". It matches the Rfam family "7SK RNA". From Rfam's summary of the family: 7SK was discovered as an abundant small nuclear RNA in the mid-70s but a possible function has only recently been suggested. Lineage: Eukaryota; Metazoa; Chordata; Mammalia; Rodentia; Muridae. The record is from Rfam by way of RNAcentral.